This 235-nucleotide ribosomal RNA is filed under the name uncultured bacterium. RNAcentral's name for it is "partial 16S ribosomal RNA". It matches the Rfam family "Bacterial small subunit ribosomal RNA", at positions 100 to 334 of the family's 1533-position model. The record is from RNAcentral.
CGGCACGGGUGAGUAACACGUAUCCAACCUGCCGUCUACUCUUGGCCAGCCUUCUGAAAGGAAGAUUAAUCCAGGAUGGCAUCAUGAGUUCACAUGUCCGCAUGAUUAAAGGUAUUUUCCGGUAGACGAUGGGGAUGCGUUCCAUUAGAUAGUAGGCGGGGUAACGGCCCACCAGCACGAUGGAUAGGGGUUCUGAGAGGAAGGUCCCCCACAUUGGAACUGAGACACGGUCCAA